AUAUACAUAUAUAUAUAUGUAUAUAUAUAUAUACAUACAUAUACUACUAAUAUUAUUCACAAUAAUGACAGGAUGAUUAAUGAUAAUAAUAUAAAUGAAAGGAAAAAAAACUAUAUAAAAAGCAAUAAAUUAUUUUUCAGAGUUGUAUUUUAGCUCCUAUUGUUGUGUGAUUUUUGGACUUGACCCAUUACCCAGUCGCUGGUAGUUAGGAUGACUCCAUUCCCCCCAGCAUCUCGGCAUCUCGUCACCGUGGCGUGACCUUGCGCGGUAAAACACUUGAAUAUGUCGUCGCCCACCCGCUCUUCCCUUUAAGACGUAACUGAGUCUGUGUAUGUCGUAAUGCACGCGUUGCUUUGUGACAUCAGUGCACAUGUGACCGGCUCUUAACCCCAACCCCGUGUGUUUAAAAUGUGUCGAGUUGAACGUGUUUGUUGUGUUAGUGCAUGGCUAUUACAGGACGACACGCCGGUGCGGUGUAUACACCACUUUGGAUAACUGCCUCUCAGCUCUUAACUUGGCAGAUUUUAAAUGACGCUCUAUAAAGCCUAGUAGAAGAAGAAGAAAAAAAAUCUACUCAACAAUGUAUCGCAUGCUGCACCCCUCCUCCCCACUCACACACACACACAGUCCAGAUAUCACAGCGCCGUCGACAUGACAUAAAAGGUAACCUUGCGGUUUCUGGUUCAAUUAAUAUCCCGUUUCGAGCGCGAGCCAAGUAAUGAGAGAACCGGCUUCCAUCACAGGAAGGAAAAAAAAAACUUUUGUAUAAAAGCUUUGCUGAUCACAAGCUUCCUUUCAUCGAGUUUGAUUGUGGAGACAAGAAACAGCUAAUUUUUGUGAUGCAAAGAGGCAAAAAUUGGUUUAGGGAUGGAUUUCCCUCCAAAAAAAUAAAAGAAAGAAAGAAAAAAAAUCCCUUUACCUGUGUUUUUUAAGACAUUGUUUUACUUUUUUGCUGUCUGUAUAGCGUUUGGGUAAUGGUGUCGUGUCCCAUUUGAUAGAUGUGGCUUUAAUCAUUGUAAUAAUAAAGAAAAAAAAUGCUUUGUAAAUUGCGUAGAGUAGCAAUAUAUUAUAACACCUUAUGGUUCAAAUUUCAACUGUGGCGGACUUUUUAAUAAUAUGGACGACAUUGCCACUGCUUAAACGUUUGUUGGGUAAUCAUGUUUUCUUUUUUCUUGUUUUUUUUUUGGAAGGACAAUAUGUUUAUUGGAAAAUGUAUGCGUGUGUGUGUAUGUCGGUGUGUGUGUGAGUGUGUGUGUGUGUGUGUGUGUUUGUGGGGGGAGGGAGGGGAGGGCCAAGGGGUCGCUGUGGGUUGUUACCUGUUUGUGUCCUAUCCACGUUGCCUUCUGCCAAGUCCUUACCAAUGCCUUUGUGGUUCUACCUAUUGUACGACUUUCUUGUGAAUUUUAUUUUUUAUGUGCAAUUCUCAUCAGCCUCACCAUGCCAAUAAAGGGAAAUGUGUUUGAAAAAAACAAAACCCAACCAAAAGAACUUUCUCUCCUUUCGGCGCCUUGCCUAUUAUCUUCCUUUCCUUGUGAUGAAUGUCCCUUCAUCAAGCGCCGUUGUACCGUUUUCACUCAGCGCUGAGGAAUGAUUAUGAUUUCCUCUCCCUCUGAUUACUAUCAAGGAGACAUCCUUGAUUUUUUUUUCUCUUUCUUUUUAACGGGAGAUUUAAAAGUUAUGAAAACAAUUCACGCCGCAAAUGUGAAUUCGCAACAUAUUUAUCAUCCUCCCCCCCACCCCCUUUCCUCCCGGCCGUGCUUCUGUAUCACUGAGCUGACUGACGCGGGAGAAGUGACACAAGUCCGUCCUCAGCACAUCUGUCUCCUAAUAAAGAAAGUCGGCUUAAUGCAGAGCAGCUUCCCCUCUUUGAAAUUCACAUCACCUGGGAGAGGAGGCGGCAGUCUUCUUUUUGUCUGUGUCCACAACUUGACUCCACACCACGAGCGUGCAAGUUAAUUAAAAAGUUAGGGGGAACAAUUUCAUUAACACGAUGGAGAGCUAUAGUGAGUUGAUGGUGUGCUUGAUAUUCAAUGAGGCUUCAUUAUGACUAUAACAAUCCUGUCUUUUUCUUUAACACACACACUCACACACACUAACGCACACCCUCUAGCCUGGGAGAUGGAAUCGCACCAGGAGCUUCCACCGUCUCCUUUUCUUUUCUGCUGGCACAAAGGGAAAUAUGGGAAGAAUGUGCAUUAAACUGUAAGGUUGGGGGUCUGAUUGUGUUUUUUAUUAAGGCCGCUGUUUAGCCCCGGAGAAGAGAGCGGCUGGCUUUCAUUUCGGCUUGGCUGCCGCGUUACAGCGGGAGGUCUCCUUCUGCUUGCCCUUUCCACAGAAUGAAACUGUCCCUGGAAAUCUCUGCUCCCUGUCAUGAUAGGAUGGCUUCUUCUUCUUCUUCUUCUUUUUUUAUCUGUUAUAUGUCUUUUUUAUUAUUAUUAACCAGUAGAUAAGCAGCUAUCUCUACUCCAGUUGGAGGUAAGUGGUAGCCUUGGAGAUAAUGGGGUUUGAUGGGGCUGGGCUCUCUGUGGG
Astatotilapia calliptera (eastern happy) is the source of this 2529-nucleotide long non-coding RNA. The record is from Ensembl. Lineage: Eukaryota; Metazoa; Chordata; Actinopteri; Cichliformes; Cichlidae.